This 458-nucleotide ribosomal RNA is filed under the name uncultured bacterium. RNAcentral describes it as "bacterial SSU rRNA". It matches the Rfam family "Bacterial small subunit ribosomal RNA", at positions 69 to 510 of the family's 1533-position model. The record is from RNAcentral.
GGUAGCAACUACCGAGUUAAGUUCUAGUGGCGAACGGGUGCGUAACACGUGGGCAAUCUGCCGAAAAGUGGGGGAUAGCUCGCCGAAAGGCGAAUUAAUACCGCAUAUGAUCAGGGACGACAUCUUCCCAACAUCAAAGCCGGGGUAACCUGGCGCUUUUUGAGGAGCCCGCGGCCUAUCAGCUAGUUGGUGAGGUAACGGCCCACCAAGGCUAUGACGGGUAGCUGGUCUGAGAGGACGAACAGUCACACUGGAAUUGAGACACGGUCCAGACACCUACGGGUGGCAGCAGUCGAGAAUUUUUCUCAAUGGGGGCAACCCUGAAGGAGCGACGCCGCGUGGAGGAUGAAGGCUUUCGGGUUGUAAACUCCUGUCAUUUGAGAACAAGCGUCGGUAAGUAACUAAUAACGGCUUGAUAGUUAAUCAGGAAAGAGGAAGAGACGGGUUAAUUCUUGUGG